RNAcentral lists this ribosomal RNA (485 nucleotides) under uncultured bacterium. RNAcentral's name for it is "bacterial SSU rRNA". It matches the Rfam family "Bacterial small subunit ribosomal RNA", at positions 62 to 543 of the family's 1533-position model. The record is from RNAcentral.
UCGAGCGGCAGCGCGGGGCAACCUGGCGGCGAGCGGCGAACGGGUGAGUAAUGCAUCGGAACAUGUCCAUGUCGUGGGGGAUAGCCCGGCGAAAGCCGGAUUAAUACCGCAUACGCCCGAGAGGGGAAAGUGGGGGACCGCAAGGCCUCACGCGAUUGGGUUGGCCGAUGUCCGAUUAGCUAGUUGGCGGGGUAAGAGCCCACCAAGGCGAUGAUCGGUAGCUGGUCUGAGAGGAUGAUCAGCCACACUGGGACUGAGACACGGCCCAGACUCCUACGGGAGGCAGCAGUGGGGAAUUUUGGACAAUGGGGGCAACCCUGAUCCAGCCAUUCCGCGUGAGUGAAGAAGGCCUUCGGGUUGUAAAGCUCUUUUGUCCGGAACGAAACGGCUACGUCUAAUAAGCGUGGCUACUGACGGUACCGGAAGAAUAAGCACCGGCUAACUACGUGCCAGCAGCCGCGGUAAUACGUAGGGUGCGAGCGUUA